UAACUGUGAUACGUAGUGUGAAUUGCAGAAUUCAGUGAACCAUCGAAACCUUGAACGCACCUUGCGCUCGCGGUCACCCGCGAGCACGCCUGUUUGAGUGUCGUCACAAUAUACUCUCCAAAAGGGAGGAGAAACCCCUCCCUCGCGCGAGGAGUGUGGGCGUCAGGGCAGCCAGAACCCGCGCCCUGGCGCCUGAAACGCAGAGGAGGCCAGGGCGCCCGCCGCCCCGUUCGGGGGGGACCGCCCGGCGCCGAGGGACGUUGCUAAAUCGCGCGCCUCAGCGCGUCGGUACGAUCCCGGAGCGCCGCCUUAGUCGCGCGGUCCCCUAACCCGCGGGAGCAACCGGAUCCGCCCCCUCCAUCCAGAAAUGACGCAAACAAACCCUGCGACCUCAAAUCAGGCGAGGACACCCGCCGAAUUUAA
Molecule: unclassified non-coding RNA, 423 nt
Filed under: uncultured Harzia
Lineage: Eukaryota; Fungi; Ascomycota; Sordariomycetes; Coronophorales; Ceratostomataceae
Description: sequence contains ITS1
Rfam family: 5.8S ribosomal RNA (bases 1-103)
Source: RNAcentral